RNAcentral lists this ribosomal RNA (440 nucleotides) under uncultured bacterium. RNAcentral's name for it is "partial 16S ribosomal RNA". It matches the Rfam family "Bacterial small subunit ribosomal RNA", at positions 338 to 795 of the family's 1533-position model. The record is from RNAcentral.
CCUACGGGAGACAGCAGUGGGGGAUAUUGCACAAUGGUGGGGACCCUGAUGCAGCGACGCCGCGUGGGUGAAGAAGCGCCUCGGCGCGUAAAGCUCUGUCAGCAGGGAAGAAAAUGACGGUACCUGAAGUAGAAGCUCCGGCUAACUACGUGCCAGCAGCCGCGGUAAUACGUAGGGGGCAAGCGUUAUCCGGAUUUACUGGGUGUAAAGGGGGCGUAGACGGCGAUGCAAGCCAGGAGUGAAAGCCCGGGGCCCAACCCCGGGACUGCUCUUGGAACUGCGUGGCUGGAGUGCAGGAGGGGCAGGCGGAAUUCCUGGUGUAGCGGUGAAAUGCUUAGAUAUCAGGAGGAACACCGAUGGCGAAGGCGGCCUGCGGGACUGCAACUGACGUUGAGGCCCGAAGGCGUGGGGAGCAAACAGGAUUAGAUACCCCAGUAGUC